Molecule: transfer RNA, 91 nt
Filed under: Candidatus Omnitrophota bacterium
Lineage: Bacteria; Pseudomonadati; Candidatus Omnitrophota
Description: Candidatus Omnitrophica bacterium (groundwater metagenome) tRNA-Ser
Rfam family: tRNA
About the family: Transfer RNA (tRNA) molecules are approximately 80 nucleotides in length. Their secondary structure includes four short double-helical elements and three loops (D, anti-codon, and T loops).
Source: RNAcentral
GGAGAGGUGGCUGAGCGGUCGAAAGCGGCGGUUUGCUAAACCGUUACACGGGAGAAAUCUCGUGUCCCGGGUUCAAAUCCCGGCCUCUCCG